AUACAAAACCAAUGCCCUUCGGGGCUCUCUUGGUGAUUCAUGAUAACUUCUCGAAUCGCACGGCCCCGCGCCGGCGAUGGUUCAUUCAAAUUUCUUCCCUACCAACCUUCGAUGCUACGGUAUUGUCCUAGCAUGGUUG
RNAcentral lists this ribosomal RNA (139 nucleotides) under uncultured eukaryote. RNAcentral's name for it is "partial 18S ribosomal RNA". It matches the Rfam family "Eukaryotic small subunit ribosomal RNA", at positions 214 to 352 of the family's 1831-position model. The record is from RNAcentral.